GACGAACGCUGGCGGCGUGCUUAACACAUGCAAGUCGAACGAAGAGCGAUGGAAGCUUGCUUCUACCAAUCUUAGUGGCGAACGGGUGAGUAACGCGUAAUCAACCUGCCCUUCAGAGGGGGACAACAGUUGGAAACGACUGCUAAUACCGCAUACGAUCUAAUCUCGGCAUCGAGGAUAGAUGAAAGGUGGCCUCUACAUGUAAGCUAUCACUGAAGGAGGGGAUUGCGUCUGAUUAGCUAGUUGGAGGGGUAACGGCCCACCAAGGCGAUGAUCAGUAGCCGGUCUGAGAGGAUGAACGGCCACAUUGGGACUGAGACACGGCCCAGACUCCUACGGGAGGCAGCAGUGGGGAAUCUUCCGCAAUGGACGAAAGUCUGACGGAGCAACGCCGCGUGAGCGAUGACGGCCUUCGGGUUGUAAAGCUCUGUUAAUCGGGACGAAAGGCCUUCUUGCGAAUAGUGAGAAGGAUUGACGGUACCGGAAUAGAAAGCCACGGCUAACUACGUG
This 510-nucleotide ribosomal RNA is filed under the name uncultured bacterium. RNAcentral describes it as "partial 16S ribosomal RNA". It matches the Rfam family "Bacterial small subunit ribosomal RNA", at positions 28 to 507 of the family's 1533-position model. The record is from RNAcentral.